This 1476-nucleotide long non-coding RNA is filed under the name Ananas comosus (pineapple). Its description in RNAcentral is "long non-coding RNA (ACOM_LNC013091)". Lineage: Eukaryota; Viridiplantae; Streptophyta; Magnoliopsida; Poales; Bromeliaceae. The record is from RNAcentral.
AAUUUGAAUAUAAAAUUUAAACCAUAUUUUAAUUUAUUCUUUGACCUUAAUUCUGAAUUGCGAUAUGAAUUCACAUUUAAAUUAACAUUAAAAUUUAAAUUUAAAUCACAAUUCGAACUAAACAUUCAAAUUCAUAAUUUGAAUUCAAAAUUCAAACUGAAACUCAUUAUUAAAAUUAAAUCUAAAUCAUAAAUUUAAAUUUUAUUUCAAGAAUUAAAAUUUAAAUUUUAAAUUUUAGUCAAUAAAUUUGAAUUUAUAGUUGGAACAAUUUGAAUUCAAAGUUCAAUUUGAAAAUUCUUUGUCACACCCCGGAUUACACUUUCCCCGGGCGCGCCGACAAAUCCGCCGUAUACAAAGAAAUUUCCCCUGUAUACGAAGCGAUAGUUGUACCUGUAAAUCAAACACUACUACGAACAGUAGUAGAGAGCUACUAGAGAAAACAGAAGCUAAACAAACUGAGUUUCAUAUACAUAGUCCAAAUCCAAAAUACAAAGCUACUCGCACUCGCGAGUUAAGUCCACUAUGUACAUAAACUCGAAACAAAAUAUCUACCUGCAGUAGGGGCACCUCUAGCUCAGCACGUCGGGUAGGGCUCUAACUCGCGACGCCCUUGUCUCGAUCCUGAUCCGCGGAAGGCGCAGCAGCCGAAACCUGUGGCUCUGCAAAACAGGGGGUAGCAACUGGGCGUGAGAAUUACUGUAAAAACAAGUAGUCCUCAGUAGGUACCGCCCAAAACAACAUCAGUUCACCCACUAAGUCUACAGAAGGGAGCAAGAAUAGCCAAAAAGUAGGAAAUAAACUCAACCGCUACAAAUCACUAUACUAUCAUGCUCUACACUAACCAACUGUAGGAAAUGUCAAAUCUGACCCAAUCCAAUCGGGACUGUAGACAUACCCGUCCCUGGGACUGUGAACACACCCGUCCCUGCCCAGUUGCAACUAUCAGGCUCUAUCCACACAACUGGUCCGUGGAGAGCAAGUCCAACCGGCAUGAGCGACACCAACGCGAAAGCACAAAGCCUGACUCCGGAGUGGCACUCGUGGGCGCUACCCAACCGAGUAUGCAGCGUAUCUCUGUCGAGCUCAAACAGGCUCCAACUAGCCAAAGUCAAGUGAACAGGGUCAAAACAGGUCUACAAACCAAACCUACGUGCCCUCGGCACAAUCUGUGACCAAAACAAGAAUUUGGGUCCACCGCUAACCCGAACGGCACCCAACGACCCGAAACAGCCUAAACUCUGCUGAAAAAUAAGCUCGGCACCCCAGCACGAGCGUAAAUGCCUUCUAAACUACCCCAGGUAUCCAUCGCACUGAUACUGCAACGAUACAAUCGAAUCACAGCUCCUAGAGCUAAAUCUGGUAGUUUAAGCAUAUGACGGGUCAAAACGCAGAUUUUCUCCUAAGUCAAAUUCCAAGUCCAACAUGUAUAAUUUAAAUAUUCAUUUCAGCAUACUUUUACAUUCAUAUUACAUUCAA